This 301-nucleotide long non-coding RNA is filed under the name Homo sapiens (human). RNAcentral's name for it is "non-protein coding lnc-C12orf49-5:1". Lineage: Eukaryota; Metazoa; Chordata; Mammalia; Primates; Hominidae. The record is from RNAcentral.
CACCGCACUCCAGCUUCGGGGACAGAGUGAAAGUCCAUCUCAAAAAAAAAAAAAAAAAAAAAAAAACACAGCCACAGGAGGCCACGCCCAGAGAUAUCUGGAGGCCUCCGGAGCCUGGCUACUGCGUAGGCAGGGCAGCAAGUGCCAACCUGACAGCUGAGGGCAGCCCAGCCGCGCCCUGCCGCCUCGCUGCCUGCACAUCAAAGUGACAGCGUUCCUGGUGCAUCCGCUUCCUCUGGCUCUGAACCCCGGGAGCUGGUGCCUUGUCCCCCAGUGCAGAGACUCUGCCAUCCACCUCCCA